AGUCAACGCUGGCGGUAGGCCUAACACAUGCAAGUCGAACGGCAGCACAGUAAGAGCUUGCUCUUACGGGUGGCGAGUGGCGGACGGGUGAGGAAUACAUCGGAAUCUACUUUUUCGUGGGGGAUAACGUAGGGAAACUUACGCUAAUACCGCAUACGACCUACGGGUGAAAGCAGGGGAUCUUCGGACCUUGCGCGAUUGAAUGAGCCGAUGUCGGAUUAGCUAGUUGGCGGGGUAAAGGCCCACCAAGGCGACGAUCCGUAGCUGGUCUGAGAGGAUGAUCAGCCACACUGGAACUGAGACACGGUCCAGACUCCUACGGGAGGCGGCAGUGGGGAAUAUUGGACAAUGGGCGCAAGCCUGAUCCAGCCAUACCGCGUGGGUGAAGAAGGCCUUCGGGUUGUAAAGCCCUUUUGUUGGGAAAGAAAAGCAGCAGGUUAAUACCCCGCUGUUCUGACGGUACCCAAAGAAUAAGCACCGGCUAACUUCGUG
Molecule: ribosomal RNA, 492 nt
Filed under: uncultured bacterium
Lineage: Bacteria
Description: partial 16S ribosomal RNA
Rfam family: Bacterial small subunit ribosomal RNA
Source: RNAcentral